RNAcentral lists this long non-coding RNA (920 nucleotides) under Homo sapiens (human). Its description in RNAcentral is "HSALNT0079481". The record is from RNAcentral. Lineage: Eukaryota; Metazoa; Chordata; Mammalia; Primates; Hominidae.
GUCUGAAACCACAGCCAGAUGUGUAGUGCUGCCUCUCCUAAGGUGCAAACCUCUCUCUGCCAGUCCCUACCAAACUGGAGCCCCUACUGGACCAGAAUUGAAAAGGGUGUCUCUUAACAGCUGAGGUAUUUGCUUGGAAAGCUCUCCUUCAACCCUCUCUUUCCUCUUUUCCCCAUUCUGGUUAAUCUGCUUUGUAUACAGUGAAAAGAAGGUUUGAGAUUUGAUCUCAGGUCCAAAUGGGAAGCCAGGCAGGCCACAUGAAACUCAUAGGCCUUAAUUUACUCAUUGUCCUACUUUAUCCUGAACUAAACCUUUCACUAGUAGUUAAGUGGCCAUUGGAAGUGAAAUGAUGUCCCAAAUUCAACAUAAGACUUGCUCUUGAUGAAGUAGAAGGAAGCAAAAACAUUGUUGAAACAGUAGGGAUUUGCAAGGCAAGAAUAAUGAAAAUAAUGCCACAUUAAAUUGAAAAACAGGCACGUGCCACUGCAUCUCGCUAAUUUUCUUAUUUUCUGUAGACAUGGGGUCUCCCUAUGUUGCCCAGGCUGGUCUUUAACUCUUGGGCUCAAGUGAUUCUCCUGCCUUGGUCUCCCAAAGUGCUGGAAUUACAGAUGUGCGCCACCAUGCCCAGCCUUGUCUUAUUAUAUUAUCUUUAGAUACAUUAUGCCUCAGAAAUAUUUAUGGAUCAUGGAAUGGAUCAUGUCAUAUAGGAGAAAAAAAAGAGAUUGCUUUCAGUACUUUGGAAAUAUUGAACUUAUUUUAAAUAUUUUCGAAAGAACUACGAACCUCUGUGAUUGACUGGUACAGAAUUACCAAAUCUGAUGGCGUCCCAGUAUUUCACUAGUGAUAGUGUUCUCAGAAGAGCUCUUAUGAAUAGUGCUACCAGCAUGGAUCCAGCAUAUUUUCUUUGCCCUCAGUCCCCU